GACCCCGUACAUCACGUGACACAGCGUCAUCGCUAAUGUCAGAAAGGUAAACAGUGUGAGAAGAUCUGAACCUUUAAACACGAUAUCUCAAACACCAGCGUUCAGCACAGGGUUGCGCAAUCGACAGGAUGGUAUGAUUGAUAAUUAAUGCUUGCAGCUAUGUAGCUGAAAAGAUUCAGCGAGCAUGCUGCAAGUCCAACUCAGAGGUUGGGUCAGAGGUCAAGGGCAUAAAGGAGAGGGAGUGUGUCAUCAGCAAAGGCAGCCGUUCUGCACAAAAUGGCUAUGGCCCAGUUGUUGAAGCCCAACCGAACAACCCAAAGGCUGAGUACGGAGUAGCUUAUGGGGGAGGAGGAUGAGGUUAACCACCCCAGAGCAGACCAGCCCUACCACACAGGAUGCCACGCCUAGCUCUGGAUCUCCCUACCCCAAGACACAACCUGUCACCAGACAAACUACCUCUUACUGUCUCUUGCUGUGAAAAUACACUGUUUAAUUUUCUGGCACUGCAUAAUUUUGAGUCAACUUCAAAUUAGUUUUUAUACAAAUGUGGUACAUCUGUUGUUAAAUAACAUGCGGGUUGGUAUAAUGUUAUUAUAUUCCUACAGAAAUUGGCUCCAUACAGUGGCACAUUCUGCAUAUUGUGCUAUCAAUUUGUGAAGUACCUGUACUGAUUUCAAAUAUUUAAAUAAUCGUGCAUCUUAAACCAUUGUUAGUGAGGAAUCAUAAACAAUUAGUACUUUAUUUCUUCAUAUUUUUUUCAAGCAAAUUUAAGAAGUACUAUCAGGGACUUUUGAAUGUUAAUUUCUUUUUGAAAGGACUCUUUGCCUAACAUUUUUCUUUUUCUGUAUGUUAUAACUGUGUGUUUGACUGUACAACAUAUCAUGAGUUGUUGGGGAACCAGUGUGUACACCACGCAGCUGUCAGUGGCUAAUGACGAUGCACUCUAAACACUGUUAUUCACAGCAAGACUGUAUCUGAUAUAUCACCAUAGCUGCCUUAUGUAGACCGUGUUGGUUUUCCAUGGACUUGACCAGCAAUGAUAUUAAAAAAAAUCAUGUUUAAAAUAUAUUUCAUGUUUUUAAAAAGAUAUGUUUGAAUAAACAUGAUAAACAUUC
Haliotis rufescens (red abalone) is the source of this 1115-nucleotide long non-coding RNA. RefSeq lists it as uncharacterized. The record is from RefSeq and is a predicted model, not a curated record. Lineage: Eukaryota; Metazoa; Mollusca; Gastropoda; Lepetellida; Haliotidae. The transcript is spliced from 3 exons.